GAUGAACGCUGGCGGCGUGCUUAACACAUGCAAGUCGAACGAAGCACUCUACUUGAUCUCUUCGGAGUGAUUGUUUUGUGACUGAGUGGCGGACGGGUGAGUAACGCGUGGGUAACCUGCCUCAUACAGGGGGAUAACAGUUGGAAACGACUGCUAAUACCGAAUAAGCGCACAGCAUCGCAUGAUGCAGUGUGAAAAACUCCGGUGGUAUGAGAUGGACCCGAGUCUGAUUAGCCAGGUGGUGGGGUAACGGCCUACCAAAGCGACGGUCAGUCGCCGACCUGAGAGGGUGACCGGCCACAUUGGGACUGAGACACGGCCCAAACUCCUACGGGAGGCAGCAGUGGGGAAUAUUGCACAAUGGGGGAAACCCUGAUGCAGCGACGCCGCGUGAGCGAAGAAGUAUUUCGGUAUGUAAAGCUCUAUCAGCAGGGAAGAAGAAAUGACGGUACCUGACUAAGAAGCACCGGCUAAAUACGUGCCAGCCGCCGCAGUAA
RNAcentral lists this ribosomal RNA (497 nucleotides) under uncultured bacterium. RNAcentral's name for it is "partial 16S ribosomal RNA". It matches the Rfam family "Bacterial small subunit ribosomal RNA", at positions 28 to 523 of the family's 1533-position model. The record is from RNAcentral.